AUUGAACGCUGGCGGCAUGCCUUACACAUGCAAGUCGAACGGCAGCACAGGUGCUUGCACCUGGUGGCGAGUGGCGAACGGGUGAGUAAUACAUCGGAACAUGUCCUGUAGUGGGGGAUAGCCCGGCGAAAGCCGGAUUAAUACCGCAUACGAUCUACGGAUGAAAGCGGGGGACCUUCGGGCCUCGCGCUAUAGGGUUGGCCGAUGGCUGAUUAGCUAGUUGGUGGGGUAAAGGCCUACCAAGGCGACGAUCAGUAGCUGGUCUGAGAGGACGACCAGCCACACUGGGACUGAGACACGGCCCAGACUCCUACGGGAGGCAGCAGUGGGGAAUUUUGGACAAUGGGCGAAAGCCUGAUCCAGCAAUGCCGCGUGUGUGAAGAAGGCCUUCGGGUUGUAAAGCACUUUUGUCCGGAAAGAAAUCCUUGGCCCUAAUACGGUCGGGGGAUGACGGUACCGGAAGAAUAAGCACCGGCUAGCUACGUG
Molecule: ribosomal RNA, 486 nt
Filed under: uncultured bacterium
Lineage: Bacteria
Description: partial 16S ribosomal RNA
Rfam family: Bacterial small subunit ribosomal RNA
Source: RNAcentral